Molecule: transfer RNA, 84 nt
Filed under: Felis catus (domestic cat)
Lineage: Eukaryota; Metazoa; Chordata; Mammalia; Carnivora; Felidae
Rfam family: tRNA
About the family: Transfer RNA (tRNA) molecules are approximately 80 nucleotides in length.
Source: Rfam by way of RNAcentral
GCCUGGGUGGCUCAGUGGUUAAGCGUCUGACUUUGGCUCAGGUCAUGAUCUCGCGGUCCGUGGGUUCGAGCCCCGCAUCAGGUU